UGGGGAAUAUUGCACAAUGGGCGCAAGCCUGAUGCAGCCAUGCCGCGUGUAUGAUGAAGGCCUUCGGGUUGUAAAGUACUUUCAGUCGGGAGGAAGGUGGUAAGGUUAAUAACUUUAUCAAUUCAUGUUACCUACAGAAGAAGCACCGGCUAACUCCGUGCCAUCAGCCGCUGUUAUACGGAGGGUGCAAGCGUUAAUCGGAAUUACUGGGCGUAAAGCGCACGCAGGCGGUUGAUUGAGUCAGAUGUGAAAUCCCGGGGCUUAACCCGGGAAUUGCAUCUGAUACUGGUUAGCUAGAGUCUUGUGGAGGGGGGUAGAAUUCCAUGUGUAGCGGUGAAAUGCGUAGAAAUGUGGAAGAAUACCGGUGGCGAAAGCGGCCCCCUGGACAAAGACUGACGCUAAGGUGCGAAAGCGUGGGGAGCAAACAGG
This 429-nucleotide ribosomal RNA is filed under the name Chloroflexota bacterium. RNAcentral describes it as "Chloroflexi bacterium partial 16S ribosomal RNA". It matches the Rfam family "Bacterial small subunit ribosomal RNA", at positions 355 to 776 of the family's 1533-position model. Lineage: Bacteria; Bacillati; Chloroflexota. The record is from RNAcentral.